AUUGAACGCUGGCGGCAGGCCUAACACAUGCAAGUCGAGCGGAUGACGGGAGCUUGCUCCUUGAUUCAGCGGCGGACGGGUGAGUAAUGCCUAGGAAUCUGCCUGGUAGUGGGGGACAACGUUUCGAACGGAACGCUAAUACCGCAUACGUCCUACGGGAGAAAGCAGGGGACCUUCGGGCCUUGCGCUAUCAGAUGAUCCUGGGUCGGAUUAGCUAGUUAGUGGGGUAAUGGCUCACCAAGGCGACGAUCCGUAACUGGUCCGAGAGGAUGAUCAGUCACACUGGAACGGAGACACGGUCCAGACUCCUACGGGAGGCAGCAGUGGGGAAUAUUGGACAAUGGGCGAAAGCCUGAUCCAGCCAUGCCGCGUGUGUGAAGAAGGUCUUCGGAUUGUAAAGCACUUUAAGUUGGGAGGAAGGGCAGUAAGCUAAUAUCUUGCUGUUUUGACGUUACCGACAGAAUAAGCACCGGCUAACUCUGUGCCAGCCGCCGCCGUAA
RNAcentral lists this ribosomal RNA (500 nucleotides) under uncultured bacterium. Its description in RNAcentral is "partial 16S ribosomal RNA". It matches the Rfam family "Bacterial small subunit ribosomal RNA", at positions 30 to 523 of the family's 1533-position model. The record is from RNAcentral.